This 202-nucleotide long non-coding RNA is filed under the name Glycine max (soybean). RNAcentral's name for it is "long non-coding RNA (GMAX_LNC000146)". Lineage: Eukaryota; Viridiplantae; Streptophyta; Magnoliopsida; Fabales; Fabaceae. The record is from RNAcentral.
AAAAAACUACAUUAGCAGUAUAGUUAUAAAUUGCUACAGAAAAUAAACCUCUAUUAUUUUUAAAUAUCUUAUGCUUAAUAAGUUUUUGGUGUAGUCAUCAUUUAUCAAUCAAAUUUGAACACCUUAAAAAAGAUGGUAAAAAACAAUUAUGAUUAUUAUUACUAUUAUUAAUAAUUAAUUAAUUGAUAUGUCUUGUUUUCUC